GGAAGAGAGAUGAGAGAAGAGAACCAAAGCCACUACAGAACAUGACCUAAAUCAGGACAAACAUUGGAAGACCGUCAGAUGUUUUAAAAAAAGAAGUCUGGAUCCGACUCUGAAAGUAGUUUCUAUUAACCAGACCUGCUGCCACUGAGCUUUUGAAAGGAAAUCACUGCUAAUGCAUCUGGCACUGCCUGGAGAAAAGGAACUGAACAGAGUUGGCCCCUUUUGAUGCCAGUCAGUGAUCUGUCCUCACGUGAUGCCAGCUCCUCUGUGUGGAGUUACAACCUGUUACAGAUUCUAGCCAGUCUUUUUGUUUUCUUACGAGAUUUUUGUUGCAAGGUGUCUAAUUUUUAAGAUGUUACAGAUGGAAGCAUGAAAAUGG
Long non-coding RNA from Hirundo rustica (Barn swallow), 379 nucleotides. RefSeq lists it as uncharacterized. The transcript has 3 exons. Lineage: Eukaryota; Metazoa; Chordata; Aves; Passeriformes; Hirundinidae. The record is from RefSeq and is a predicted model, not a curated record.